UCCUGCAUUUGCAAAACGUGGUCUCAGAAGAUCUUAAUGAUUAAAAGUUGACAACAGAGAUAGCAUGUCAUGUUGCGACCGUGUUUUCUUAUUGGCGGUCAUGCUGCGACCGUGUUUUCUUAUUGGCAUUUUGUCAAGAAGUUGUAAGUUAACUUUGCCAACCAUUUGUUUAUCAGCAAAAAAGUACACAAUUGAAAUCUUUCCUUUUGCAUCAUUGCGUGUAUUCAAGAAGAGGGCAAAGAUUUCUAUCCAAUAAUUUAUUAUGAUUAGCCAUCUAGAACUAAGCGAAGAUGAUUUUACCCUCAUAUAAGUUACAGAUUCGAUCGACAAAGAGUAGAUAAGAAUACUGUCAAACUUGAGGGGUAUCCAUACCGGUGAGAUAAAAGCGGUGUGUGAAACAUCAGGAUAUCCUUCGACAGAGGGCAAUUCUGAGUUCCGAUAACAGUUAAAUUCUCCUUCUGUUGUCGAUGUGAGCUUUCUUCGCUGCAGGUCCUGAGCGCGAAUGCUCACCACUUGAUUCAAUCUAAAACACGCAUUGGGAGGAAUAAUCAGAAUCAAAUGUUGUUUUAAACCAAGCCUGCAAGACCUAGUUUUUCACCUUA
This 602-nucleotide long non-coding RNA is filed under the name Eucalyptus grandis. RNAcentral's name for it is "long non-coding RNA (EGRA_LNC002218)". The record is from RNAcentral. Lineage: Eukaryota; Viridiplantae; Streptophyta; Magnoliopsida; Myrtales; Myrtaceae.